RNAcentral lists this non-coding RNA (29 nucleotides) under Mus musculus (house mouse). The record is from RNAcentral. Lineage: Eukaryota; Metazoa; Chordata; Mammalia; Rodentia; Muridae.
UUACUGCCUGGGUAAAACUGGCUCGCCAC